This is a long non-coding RNA of Sapajus apella (tufted capuchin), 1436 nucleotides long. RefSeq lists it as uncharacterized. The transcript has 2 exons. NCBI's taxonomy places the organism in Eukaryota, Metazoa, Chordata, Mammalia, Primates, Cebidae. The record is from RefSeq and is a predicted model, not a curated record.
GGGAGUGAAUGAGUAGAUGACAUGGGUGAGAGGUCCAGAGGUCAGGAAAGAACCAGACAUUGAAGUGUGGAUUGGGAAGUUCUCCAGUGGAAAUGAUUUUUUAGAUGCAUAAGUUUAUUUCUCUUGCUGUCGUAGAGGGACAUCUUCUGUCUCAUGCUUUGAAAUUAUCUAAUGAUUCUCCUUCACCUUCUGUGAUCCACCAUCAAAUUUCACAGUGACAGCCAAAGUCCUGUGAGGCCUGUGAGGGCCUGCAUAAUCUAGCUGCUCUUCCAUUGAUUUGGGAGCUCUGGGGAAGUCUGUGCAUGUUUCUACCUCUAUGUGAAACCACUUUUAAAGUUCCGUUUUUGCCUCAUGUAGAAGUGUGUGAGGGCAGUGAUGGAAAGUGGGAUUUCUGUUAGAAGCUGCAGGAAUUCUGUGGACAGAUGUCACAUAUUUUCUGGUAUUUGAAUUUCUAAUCCUACAGUGGUUUUCAAGAUGAUCCUACAAAAAUUGAGACUCAGUAACUUCAUCAGAGCACAAAGCAUUUUCCUAAAUAUAAAAAAACUGAUCUUGUAUUUCACUUCAACUUUCCAUCUUUCCUAGCCUAAACUAAGAUUAGAAAUAUAAGCUCUACAUGCACAAAGUCCACAGAUAUAAAAUCAUUUAAUAUGUUACUAUUAUGUAGAAUUCUUAACUAAAUGAAUGUCUGUGGGGAGCUUAGAACAUUGCCCAGUAUAUAGUAACCUCUCAACUCUUACCUUAUAAAUUAAUAGUAUCUUAUAAUUUUGUCUAGAUAAGUGUGAAGGUUAAUGAUAAUGUGUUCUUUAUGUUCGUUUUAUUUCUUUUCCUUUUCUUUUUUCUUUUGCUUCCUUCUUUCAUGUGGAUUUUUUUCCCCACACUUGUAAAUUAUAUAUAUUUAAGGGAUACAUCCUGAUAAUUUGAUUUUAUAUAUGUAUAUGUUGUAUAAUGAUUAAUACAAUGAAAUUAAUUAACACAUUAAUCAUCUCAUAUAGUUGCCAGGUUUUUGUGGAGAGGACAUUUAAAAUCUACUGUGUUAGCAAAUCUCAAGUAUACAAGAGUAUUGUAAACUGUAUUCACAGUGCUAUACAUCAGAUCCCCACAAUUUAUUUAUCUUUUAAAUGAAAGUUUGUACUCUUUGACCAGAGUAUCCCCAUUUUUACCACCUCUCAGCUGUGGGAACCUAUUGUUCUACAUUUUGCUUCUAUGAGUUCAACUUUUUAAGAUUCCACAAAUAACUGAUACUAUACAGUGUUUGUGUUUCUCUAUCUUAUUCAUUUACCAUAAUGUCCACCUGGUUCUUUCAUCCUUGUUGUCAGAAAUGGUAGGAUUACCUUCUUCAUUAUGCUGAAUAAUAUUCCACUAUAUAUUUUGAAUAAUCAGCUAUCAACAUAGGGGUACAGAUAUCUCCUUAACAUACUGAUUUUAUUUAUUUAUUU